AACAUUCGUCUCAUAAAGCCUAACAUAGACCAAGUCAAAUUGUAAAUGACAGUCGACCUAUGACUGCAAUAAAAUACCUGCGAGACGAGUGCGACAGGCAGGAAACUGGGACUGGUGGUUAGUAGCCUACAACAAUCAACAAUGGACAGACCUGGAUUCUCUACAGCCCCUCAUCCUCCUGAUGUCAGGAUUGUGCUGCUGGGUAAAACUGGAGUGGGGAAGAGUGCAACAGGAAACACCAUUCUGGGUCAAGACGUGUUUCACUCAGCUUUGAGCUUUUCCUCAGUUACCAUGGAAUGUCAAGAGAGAACUGUUCUCAUUGGACAGAAUAGAGUCAGUGUGGUUGACACUCCAGACUUCUUCUAUGCAACACACACACAGGAGGGUUUGAGUUCAGAGAUAGAGAGAUGUAUCUAUCUCUCUAACCCUGGACCUCAUGCAUUUAUCUUUGUUCUAACUCUUGAUACUUUCACUGAGCAGGAGACAGAUGUAGUCACUGUAUUUGAGAAAUGUUUUGGUGAAGUAGCUUCAAGAUACACCAUCAUUGUCUUUACUCAUGGAGACGAGCUGAACAACAGAACAAUAGAGGAACUAGUAGAGAAAAAUGUUAAGAUGUCUGAGCUCAUUGAAGAGCGUGGUUGGAGAUAUCAUGUCCUUAACAACAAAGACAGAGCCAAUAGAAACCAGGUGACUGAGCUGCUGGAAAAGAUAAUCAUCAUGAUGAAUGUGAACGAAAGUAGCUGUUACACACAUGGCAUGUUGCAGGAGGCAGAAAGAAAGAGAAGAGAAGAGAUUGAGUUGAUGAAAGAGGAGAGUCUCAGAGAGGAAGAGAGGAAAAUAGAAGAACACCAGAGAUGGUUAGAGAAGGUGAGAAGAGAGACAGGGGAUAGAGUACGGAGAGAGACAGAGGAGAGAGUAUAGAGAGAGAUGAAGGAUAGAGGAGGGAGAGAGAUUGAGGAUAGAGUAGGGAGAGAGACAGAGGAGAGAGUACAGAGAGAGAUGAAGGAUAUAGGAGGGAGAGAGAUGGAGGAUAGAGUACGGAGAGAGACAGAGGAGAGAGUACAGAGAGAGAUGAAGGAUAGAGGGAGAGAGAUGGAGGAUAGAGUAGGGAGAGAGACAGAGGAGAGAGUACAGAGAGAGAUGGAGGAGAGAGUACGGAGAGCGACAGAGUAGAGAGUACAGAGAGAGAUGAAGGAUAGAGUAGGGAGAGAGAUGGAGGAUAGAGUAGGGAGAGAGACAGAGAGAGAGUACGGAGAGAGUCAGAGGAGAGAUGAAGGAUAGAGGAGGGAGAGAGACAGAGGAGAGAGUACGGAGAGAGACAGAGGAGAGAGUAAAAACUACACAUUGAACUGAAGUCUGUGCCCAAUGGGGUGGUUGUAACCUACAAUCUGAAAACAGUUAUAGAUAAAUAAUCAAUGCUGUUAACUAAACAUGUUCCAAGCAGUUUGUAGUUCUGCUAGACUACCUUUUAUCAAAUGUUUUUAAAAUAAAUGAUUAAUUCCAGCUUGCACAUAAUAGCCAGUUGGUGCCUUGUCA
Oncorhynchus masou masou (cherry salmon) is the source of this 1536-nucleotide long non-coding RNA. RefSeq lists it as uncharacterized. Lineage: Eukaryota; Metazoa; Chordata; Actinopteri; Salmoniformes; Salmonidae. The transcript has 2 exons. The record is from RefSeq and is a predicted model, not a curated record.